AUUGAACGCUGGCGGCAUGCCUUACACAUGCAAGUCGAACGGCAGCACGGGUGCUUGCACCUGGUGGCGAGUGGCGAACGGGUGAGUAAUACAUCGGAACAUGUCCUGUAGUGGGGGAUAGCCCGGCGAAAGCCGGAUUAAUACCGCAUACGAUCUACGGAUGAAAGCGGGGGACCUUCGGGCCUCGCCCUAUAGGGUUGGCCGAUGGCUGAUUAGCUAGUUGGUGGGGUAAAGGCCUACCAAGGCGACGAUCAGUAGCUGGUCUGAGAGGACGACCAGCAACACUGGGACGGAGACACGGCCCAGACUCCUACGGGAGGCAGCAGUGGGGAAUUGUGGACAAUGGGCGAAAGCCUGAUCCAGCAAUGCCGCGUGUGUGAAGAAGGCCUUCGGGUUGUAAAGCACUUUUGUCCGGAAAGAAAUCCUUGGCCCUAAUACGGUCGGGGGAUGACGGUACCGGAAGAAUAAGCACCGGCUAACUACGUG
Molecule: ribosomal RNA, 486 nt
Filed under: uncultured bacterium
Lineage: Bacteria
Description: partial 16S ribosomal RNA
Rfam family: Bacterial small subunit ribosomal RNA
Source: RNAcentral